CAUGAAUAUUCAUGUUUAAUAUUCAUGUGGGCGGGGCGCCCACUGAAACAGAAAAUCUCGGAAACCGAAAAUCUCGUAACAUCGGACACAUGGAGCAGAUAAAAACAGCGUCAUCAUACCCACAGAUUUUAGGAAGAUGGUGCCGUAUAGACGAGAGAAAGCCAUCUGUCAAUGAUGUAUGACCGUCAACUUGUUUCCUAAUGCCACAUAUUUCUUGGUACAUGCUGCUCAGGGACUGUGGGCUGAUAUCCUCAUAUAAUCCUGCAUGAAACGGCCAAGGAAAACCCC
Molecule: long non-coding RNA, 288 nt
Filed under: Sinocyclocheilus anshuiensis
Lineage: Eukaryota; Metazoa; Chordata; Actinopteri; Cypriniformes; Cyprinidae
Description: lncRNA (ENSSANG00000028127.1)
Source: RNAcentral